GGGGAAUUUUGCACAAUGGGGGAAACCCUGAUGCAGCGACGCCGCGUGAUUUAGAAGGCCUUCGGGUUGUAAAAAUCUUUUGUAUAGGAAGAAAAUGACAGUACUAUACGAAUAAGGUCCGGCUAAUUACGUGCCAGCAGCCGCGGUAAUACGUAAGGACCGAGCGUUGUCCGGAAUCAUUGGGCGUAAAGGGUACGUAGGCGGGUCAUUAAGUUAGAAGUCAAAGGCUAUAGCUCAACUAUAGUAAGCUUCUAAAACUGGCGACCUUGAGUAAUGGAAGGGAAAGUGGAAUUCCUAGUGUAGCGGUGGAAUGCGCAGAUAUUAGGAGGAAUACCGGUGGCGAAGGCGACUUUCUGGCCAUUAACUGACGCUGAGGUACGAAAGCGUGGGUAGCAAACAGGAUUAGAUACCCUGGUAGUCCACGCCGUAAACGAUGAGUGUUAGGUGUCUGGAGUAAAUCUGGGUGCCGCAGCUAACGCAUUAAACACUCCGCCUGGGGAGUACGCACGCAAGUGUG
Molecule: ribosomal RNA, 517 nt
Filed under: uncultured bacterium
Lineage: Bacteria
Description: bacterial SSU rRNA
Rfam family: Bacterial small subunit ribosomal RNA
Source: RNAcentral